This 386-nucleotide ribosomal RNA is filed under the name Chlamydomonas sp. RNAcentral describes it as "partial small subunit ribosomal RNA". It matches the Rfam family "Eukaryotic small subunit ribosomal RNA", at positions 582 to 975 of the family's 1831-position model. The record is from RNAcentral. Lineage: Eukaryota; Viridiplantae; Chlorophyta; Chlorophyceae; Chlamydomonadales; Chlamydomonadaceae.
AUUCCAGCUCCAAUAGCGUAUAUUUAAGUUGCUGCAGUUAAAAAGCUCGUAGUUGGAUUUCGGGCGGUUGACGACGGUCCGCCUCUGGUGUGCACUGCCGUUCAUCCGCCUUUCUGUCGGGGACGUGCUCCUAGGCUUCAUUGUCUGGGACACGGGUUCGACGAGGUUACUUUGAGUAAAUUAGAGUGUUCAAAGCAGGCAUCGCCUUGAAUAUAUUAGCAUGGAAUAGCACGAUAGGACUCUGGCCUAUUUUGCUGGUCUGUAGGACCGGAGUAAUGAUUAAGAGGGACAGUCGGGGGCAUUCGUAUUUCAUUGUCAGAGGUGAAAUUCUUGGAUUUAUGAAAGACGAACUUCUGCGAAAGCAUUUGCCAAGGAUGUUUUCAUUA